GCCAGACUCCUACGGGAGGCAGCAGUGAGGAAUAUUGGUCAAUGGGCUAAGGCCUGAACCAGCCAAGUCGCGUGAGGGAAGACGGUCCUAUGGAUUGUAAACCUCUUUUGUCGGGGAGCAACGAGGCCACGUGUGGCCGAAGUGAGAGUACCCGAAGAAAAAGCAUCGGCUAACUCCGUGCCAGCAGCCGCGGUAAUACGGAGGAUGCGAGCGUUGUCCGGAAUUACUGGGCGUAAAGGGCGCGUAGGUGGGCGCUUAAGUCAGGUGUGAAAACUCCGGGCUCAACCUGGAGACUGCACUUGAAACUGGGUGUCUUGAGGGCAGGAGAGGAAAGUGGAAUUCCUAGUGUAGCGGUGAAAUGCGUAGAUAUUAGGAGGAACACCAGUGGCGAAGGCGACUUUCUGGACUGUACCUGACGCUGAGGCGCGAAAGCGUGGGUAGCGAACGGGAUUAGAUACCCGAGUAU
RNAcentral lists this ribosomal RNA (466 nucleotides) under uncultured bacterium. RNAcentral's name for it is "partial 16S ribosomal RNA". It matches the Rfam family "Bacterial small subunit ribosomal RNA", at positions 330 to 793 of the family's 1533-position model. The record is from RNAcentral.